RNAcentral lists this long non-coding RNA (1060 nucleotides) under Sus scrofa (pig). RNAcentral's name for it is "lncRNA (ENSSSCG00070013417.1)". Lineage: Eukaryota; Metazoa; Chordata; Mammalia; Artiodactyla; Suidae. The record is from RNAcentral.
CUUAUGUCUGUGUCUCUGCAGUAUGUUUCAUGGAGAGUCUGAGUGACAGCAACCAUGAUGAAAGUGAUACAGGUAAGAACAGCUCUCAGGUAGGAGCCAAUGGGAGAGGGAUCCCGGGACACUUGGGUGACGCCUGCUGCUUGGAGUGUGGGGCAGGUGAGUCUGAAACUUAAAAACAGAAAGAAAUUGAUGUAAAGAUGUUCACCGCCUACUUUAAUAAGGAGAGGGAGCAGAUAUGAGAUGCCUGAAUGUUGGCAUCUGUGCUCACCUUGUGUGGAAGGGUCUCAGUCCAUGGAGCAGAGGGAAGGUCUGGGCACCUGGAGGAAAAACCAGGGUGAUGCUCUGUACCCGUAGUCACCUCAGGGAAGCCGGAGAAACGGGAGGGCCACUCUUUCUAACUCCUUGAUUCCCCUGAUGGUGUGUUUCUACAGACUCAGUGGUGGAGAGCCUGAGCAGCCGCCAGGAUGAGGAGGCUGCAGGUGGACGGGAUGGACGAUGAAAGCCUAUGUUUCAUGGAGAGUCUGAGUGACAGCAACCAUGAUGAAAGUGAUACAGGUAAGAACAGCUCUCAGGUAGGAGCCAAUGGGAGAGGGAUCCCGGGACACUUGGGUGACGCCUGCUGCUUGGAGUGUGGGGCAGGUGAGUCUGAAACUUAAAAACAGAAAGAAAUUGAUGUAAAGAUGUUCACCGCCUACUUUAAUAAGGAGAGGGAGCAGAUAUGAGAUGCCUGAAUGUUGGCAUCUGUGCUCACCUUGUGUGGAAGGGUCUCAGUCCAUGGAGCAGAGGGAAGGUCUGGGCACCUGGAGGAAAAACCAGGGUGAUGCUCUGUACCCGUAGUCACCUCAGGGAAGCCGGAGAAACGGGAGGGCCACUCUUUCUAACUCCUUGAUUCCCCUGAUGGUGUGUUUCUACAGACUCAGUGGUGGAGAGCCUGAGCAGCCGCCAGGAUGAGGAGGCUGCAGGUAGGGAAGAGCACAGCUGGGAUCCAGUGGGAGAGGGUUCCUGGGAGCACCUGGGUUCCGCCUGCUGCCGGGAGAGGGAGGAAGUGGGGGAUAGGACU